AGCUUUCAGUUGCCGCUUCAGAGGGGCAAAGUCCGAAUACUUCUUAGGAAUUAUAACCCUGAUUGUUCCAGGCUGUUUCUCGGACAUUCACGUGUUUCCCUUAACUGGAGAAGACACCGCGGUGCAGUCGCCUCCCUUCUGGGACUGGAAGAUGAGAUAUUUUAGCGAUAAAGAAUGGCAAUCCAGCCUGAGAUGAGUUUCCCCGCUGUGGUGCAUCUCUUGAAUUUUAAACACAAGCUGUGUUUCUUCAAUCCUCAAGUUUAGUAGAAGUGACUGGCCCCUGAUUCCGAAUGCAUAUGUAUCCAAAGGCAGUAGAAAUGUGUGUGUGACCAAGAGUCAAGUUCUGAGCUUCUAUAAGAGGGAUGAGUGACUAGAAGUGACAAUGAACUCUUCUUCACCAAGGUGCUUCACGGGGCUGCCUUCUGGGAACCUUCAGUUGUGCAUUAGGCAAACAUUACAAAAGCACUGAUAAAAUUCUAAGUAAAAGGCAAGGAAAACCAUUCAUGAUUCCAUCGCCCCAAGAACAGUCAAGCUGUUUGCAGAUUUUCCUCACUCUCUUUUGCUCAGAGCCACGUGAAUAUACAACGUCACUGGCAUAAUUACAGCAGAGAGACAUUUUGCAUCCAUUUAUUCCCCUUGCACAUCAUAUGAGCCCUGAGCCAACUUCUAAGAAGUUUUCUGCCCUAAAGCCACAGUGCUGGAGAGAGAGAGAGAGGAUGUGCCAAGAAUACACAGCCAUAGAGGUGCCCUGGGACGCCACGAGUCCUCCCAGCAUGUACCAUGGACACGAGAGGGAGCUUUCAGAUGAUUCCAUGUUCCAGCCUUGAAGAUGCUCCAGCCAAUACCCAGUGGAACAGGGAUAAGUUGAUCCCACCAAGCUUUACCUCAAAUGCAGAUUCAGGAGCAAAAUAAAUGUUGUUGGUUUAAAUCACUAAGCUCAGGCUGCUUAGUCACACAGUCACCCAGUAAUGAGUGGAACACAUUUAACUUGCAGGUGGGGACUUCUUCAACCCCAUCCAUUUGCAUAUAUUGCAAACAUUUCCCAAAAUGCCUGGGCUUUCAAGUUACCCUUCCCUGGUUCAUAUGAUAUUUUCUUUAAUAUAUUUUUUAUUUCUUAUUCAUAUAAAAAUAUUUUUUUUAUUCUCAUUGCUCAUUUUAUUAAAAUUGUAGGUAAAGAGGAAAA
Molecule: long non-coding RNA, 1183 nt
Filed under: Sus scrofa (pig)
Lineage: Eukaryota; Metazoa; Chordata; Mammalia; Artiodactyla; Suidae
Description: lncRNA (ENSSSCG00050032712.1)
Source: RNAcentral